UGCAAAUGAUGUAAACGAAUAUUUGCUAUCUUACUUCUGAUGAUGACAAUUUCCCACCAAGAUCGCUGAUGCA
This 73-nucleotide small nucleolar RNA is filed under the name Gouania willdenowi (blunt-snouted clingfish). RNAcentral describes it as "Small nucleolar RNA SNORD24 (ENSGWIG00000012001.1)". It matches the Rfam family "Small nucleolar RNA SNORD24". From Rfam's summary of the family: U24 is a member of the C/D class of snoRNA which contain the C (UGAUGA) and D (CUGA) box motifs. C/D box snoRNAs have been shown to act as methylation guides for a number of RNA targets. The record is from Rfam by way of RNAcentral. Lineage: Eukaryota; Metazoa; Chordata; Actinopteri; Blenniiformes; Gobiesocidae.